RNAcentral lists this ribosomal RNA (481 nucleotides) under uncultured bacterium. Its description in RNAcentral is "partial 16S ribosomal RNA". It matches the Rfam family "Bacterial small subunit ribosomal RNA", at positions 30 to 523 of the family's 1533-position model. The record is from RNAcentral.
AUUGAACGCUGGCGGCGUGCUUAACACAUGCAAGUCGAGCGGAAAGGCCACUUCGGUGGUACUCGAGCGGCGAACGGGUGAGUAACACGUGAGUAAUCUGCCCUUGGCUUUGGGAUAACCACCGGAAACGGUGAUUAAUACCGGAUACGACCACUUCUCGCAUGGGAUGGUGGUGGAAAGUUUUUUCGGCCAGGGAUGUGCUCGCGGCCUAUCAGCUUGAUGGUGAGGUAACGGCUCACCAUGGCUUCGACGGGUAGCCGGCCUGAGAGGGUGACCGGUCACACUGGGACUGAGACACGGCCCAGACUCCUACGGGAGGCAGCAGUGGGGAAUAUUGGACAAUGGGCGGAAGCCUGAUCCAGCAACGCCGCGUGAGGGAUGACGGCCUUCGGGUUGUAAACCUCUUUCAGCAGGGACGAAGCGCAAGUGACGGUACCUGCAGAAGAAGCACCGGCCAACUACGUGCCAGCCGCCGCGGUAA